This 460-nucleotide ribosomal RNA is filed under the name uncultured bacterium. Its description in RNAcentral is "partial 16S ribosomal RNA". It matches the Rfam family "Bacterial small subunit ribosomal RNA", at positions 338 to 795 of the family's 1533-position model. The record is from RNAcentral.
CCUACGGGGUGCAGCAGUGAGGAAUAUUGGUCAAUGGACGAGAGUCUGAACCAGCCAAGUAGCGUGAAGGAUGACUGCCCUAUGGGUUGUAAACUUCUUUUAUAUGGGAAUAAAACGUUCCACGUGUGGGAUUUUGUAUGUACCAUAUGAAUAGGGAUCGGCUAACUCCGUGCCAGCAGCCGCGGUAAUCCGGAGUAUCCGAGCGUUAUCCGGAUUGAUUGGGUUUAAAGGGAGCGUAGGUGGAUUGUUAAGUCAGUUGUGAAAGUUUGCGGCUCAACCGUAAAAUUGAAGUUGAAACUGGCAGUCUUGAGUACAGUAGAGGUGGGCGGAAUUCGUGGUGUAGCGGUGAAAUGCUUAGAUAUCACGAAGAACUCCGAUUGCGAAGGCAGUUCACUGGACUGCAACUGACACUGAGGCUCGAAAGUGUGGGUAUCAAACAGGAUUAGAUACCCGUGUAGUC